RNAcentral lists this ribosomal RNA (468 nucleotides) under uncultured bacterium. Its description in RNAcentral is "bacterial SSU rRNA". It matches the Rfam family "Bacterial small subunit ribosomal RNA", at positions 335 to 799 of the family's 1533-position model. The record is from RNAcentral.
ACUCCUACGGGAGGCAGCAGUGAGGAAUAUUGGUCAAUGGAGGGAACUCUGAACCAGCCAUCCCGCGUGUAGGAAGACGGCCUUAUGGGUUGUAAACUACUUUUAUACAGGAAGAAACGUACCCUCGUGAGGGUGCCUGACGGUACUGUAGGAAUAAGCACCGGCUAACUCCGUGCCAGCAGCCGCGGUAAUACGGAGGGUGCGAGCGUUAAUCGGAAUUACUGGGCGUAAAGCGCAUGCAGGCGGCCUGUUAAGUCAGAAGUGAAAUCCUAUGGCUCAACCAUAGAACUGCUUUUUGAAACUGGUAACCUAGAGUAUGGGAGAGGUAGAUGGAAUUUCUGGUGUAGGGGUAAAAUCCGUAGAGAUCAGAAGGAAUACCGAUUGCGAAGGCGAUCUACUGGAACAUUACUGACGCUGAGACGCGAAAGCGUGGGGAGCAAACAGGAUUAGAUACCCUGGUAGACUGUC